AUGGUUGAAGGUUUAGCACUCAAAUUUGGCCUAACACUGGCGCAAAGGGCGGGGUGUAAUGGCAUAAUCAUCAAUUCAGACAACCUGGAGGUGAUAGAGACUAUGCAGGACGUAGGACAAUCAGCGGGUGCGGCGGCGGCAAUUUUCGAGGACUGCUUUCACUAUGCAUGUGAUUUUGUCAUGACUAGAUUCGAACAUUGUAAUAGAGAGGCAAAUAAAGUAGCUCAUGAACUUGCUAGAUUAGCUAGAUUUUCUUUGACUUCACACUAUUUUGAGGAGCCUCUAAAUGAAAUUGUAAUUAUUCUCACAAACAAUGUAACAGUUAUCUCUAAUGAAUAA
RNAcentral lists this ribosomal RNA (339 nucleotides) under Triticum aestivum (bread wheat). Its description in RNAcentral is "partial small subunit ribosomal RNA". Lineage: Eukaryota; Viridiplantae; Streptophyta; Magnoliopsida; Poales; Poaceae. The record is from RNAcentral.